RNAcentral lists this ribosomal RNA (498 nucleotides) under uncultured bacterium. RNAcentral describes it as "partial 16S ribosomal RNA". It matches the Rfam family "Bacterial small subunit ribosomal RNA", at positions 28 to 507 of the family's 1533-position model. The record is from RNAcentral.
GACGAACGCUGGCGGCGUGCCUAAUACAUGCAAGUCGAACGAGAGCGACCGGUGCUUGCACUGGGCAAUCUAGGGGCGAACGGGUGAGUAACACGUGGGUAACCUGCCCAUCAGAGGGGGAUAACAUCCGGAAACGGAUGCUAAAACCGCAUAGGUCUUCGAGCCGCAGGGCGGGAAGAGGAAAAGAGGCGCAAGCUUCUGCUGAUGGAUGGACCCGCGGUGCAUUAGCUAGUUGGUGAGGUAACGGCUCACCAAGGCCGUGAUGCAUAGCCGACCUGAGGGGGUGAUCGGCCACAUUGGGACUGAGACACGGCCCAAACUCCUACGGGAGGCAGCAGUAGGGAAUCUUCCGCAAUGGACGCAAGUCUGACGGAGCAACGCCGCGUGAGUGAAGAAGGUUUUCGGAUCGUAAAACUCUGUUGUUAGGGAAGAACAAGUGCUAGAGUAACUGUUAGCGCCUUGACGGUAUCUAACCAGAAAGCCACGGCUAACUACGUG